GCCUGGCUUGCUCAAUUGGUAGAGCGUAAGACUCCUGAUCUCAGGGUUGUGAGCUCAAGCCCCAUAUUAGGCA
This 73-nucleotide transfer RNA is filed under the name Mustela putorius furo (domestic ferret). It matches the Rfam family "tRNA". Rfam says of the family: Transfer RNA (tRNA) molecules are approximately 80 nucleotides in length. Their secondary structure includes four short double-helical elements and three loops (D, anti-codon, and T loops). Lineage: Eukaryota; Metazoa; Chordata; Mammalia; Carnivora; Mustelidae. The record is from Rfam by way of RNAcentral.